Molecule: unclassified non-coding RNA, 240 nt
Filed under: soil metagenome
Description: partial contains 5.8S ribosomal RNA, internal transcribed spacer 2, and large subunit ribosomal RNA
Source: RNAcentral
AACACUGUUAACCUGCGGUACCUGCGGAGGGAUCAUUACCGAAGUACAGGCCCUUUUACAGGGCUAAACUUCCACCCUUUGUUUACUAUUCUUUGUUGCUUUGGCGAGACGUCUUCGGACCACCGGCUCUUGGGCUGGUGAGCGCUCGCCAGAGGAAAAUCAAACCCAAACCUUUUUUAGUGUCGUCUGAGAAACAAGUUUAAUUAUUAAAACUUUCAACAACGGAUCUCAGAUCGGAAG